UACGUAGGGUGCGAGCGUUGUCCGGAAUUAUUGGGCGUAAAGAGCUUGUAGGUGGUUUGUCGCGUCUGCCGUGAAAGUCCGGGGCUCAACUCCGGAUCUGCGGUGGGUACGGGCAGACUAGAGUGAUGUAGGGGAGACUGGAAUUCCUGGUGUAGCGGUGAAAUGCGCAGAUAUCAGGAGGAACACCGAUUGCGAAGGCAGCUCGCUGGAACGUAACUGACGCUGAGACGCGAAAGCGUGGGGAGCAAACAGG
This 253-nucleotide ribosomal RNA is filed under the name uncultured bacterium. RNAcentral describes it as "partial 16S ribosomal RNA". It matches the Rfam family "Bacterial small subunit ribosomal RNA", at positions 524 to 776 of the family's 1533-position model. The record is from RNAcentral.